GCCGCGAGGCGACGGGCGUUCUCGCCGGAUGUAGGAACCGACCCGGGGACCGCCGGGGCAACCCGGCGCCCCCGAGACGGGGCGAACCACGGUGAAAUGACGGAUCGUCGGCCCCGCGCCGGCGACUCGCCGAAUGAGUUUCUGACCUAUCAACUCGAGACGGCGGGGUAGAGGCCCGCCGCGGUAACGACGGGUAACGGGGAAUCAGGGUUCGAUUCCGGAGAGGGAGCCCGAGAAACGGCUACCACUUCCAAGGAAGGCAGCAGGCGCGCAACUUACCCUAAUCUCGAUUCGAGGAGGUAGUGACAAGAAAUACCGAUGCGGGACCCUACGGGUGCCGCGUUCGGAAUGAGUACGAUUCGAACCACCUAACGAGGAACGAUCGGAGGGCAAGUCUGGUGCCAGCAGCCGCGGUAAUUCCAGCUCCA
This 428-nucleotide ribosomal RNA is filed under the name uncultured eukaryote. RNAcentral's name for it is "bacterial SSU rRNA". It matches the Rfam family "Eukaryotic small subunit ribosomal RNA", at positions 184 to 593 of the family's 1831-position model. The record is from RNAcentral.